RNAcentral lists this ribosomal RNA (763 nucleotides) under uncultured Streptococcus sp. RNAcentral's name for it is "bacterial SSU rRNA". It matches the Rfam family "Bacterial small subunit ribosomal RNA", at positions 28 to 776 of the family's 1533-position model. The record is from RNAcentral. Lineage: Bacteria; Bacillati; Bacillota; Bacilli; Lactobacillales; Streptococcaceae.
GACGAACGCUGGCGACGUGCCUAAUACAUGCAAGUAGAACGCUGAAGGAGGAGCUUGCUUCUCUGGAUGAGUUGCGAACGGGUGAGUAACGCGUAGGUAACCUGCCUGGUAGCGGGGGAUAACUAUUGGAAACGAUAGCUAAUACCGCAUAAUAGUAGAUGUUGCAUGACAUUUGCUUAAAAGGUGCAAUUGCAUCACUACCAGAUGGACCUGCGUUGUAUUAGCUAGUUGGUGGGGUAACGGCUCACCAAGGCGACGAUACAUAGCCGACCUGAGAGGGUGAUCGGCCACACUGGGACUGAGACACGGCCCAGACUCCUACGGGAGGCAGCAGUAGGGAAUCUUCGGCAAUGGACGGAAGUCUGACCGAGCAACGCCGCGUGAGUGAAGAAGGUUUUCGGAUCGUAAAGCUCUGUUGUAAGGGAAGAACGAGUGUGAGAGUGGAAAGUUCACACUGUGACGGUAUCUUACCAGAAAGGGACGGCUAACUACGUGCCAGCAGCCGCGGUAAUACGUAGGUCCCGAGCGUUGUCCGGAUUUAUUGGGCGUAAAGCGAGCGCAGGCGGUUAGAUAAGUCUGAAGUUAAAGGCUGUGGCUUAACCAUAGUACGCUUUGGAAACUGUUUAACUUGAGUGCAAGAGGGGAGAGUGGAAUUCCAUGUGUAGCGGUGAAAUGCGUAGAUAUAUGGAGGAACACCGGUGGCGAAAGCGGCUCUCUGGCUUGUAACUGACGCUGAGGCUCGAAAGCGUGGGGAGCAAACAGG